UACGUAGGGUGCAAGCGUUGUCCGGAAUUAUUGGGCGUAAAGAGCUCGUAGGCGGUUUGUCGCGUCGAAUGUGAAAACCCGGGGCUCAACCCCGGGCCUGCAUUCGAUACGGGCAGACUAGAGUUCGGUAGGGGAGUCUGGAAUUCCUGGUGUAGCGGUGAAAUGCGCAGAUAUCAGGAGGAACACCGGUGGCGAAGGCGGGACUCUGGGCCGAUACUGACGCUGAGGCGCGAGAGCGUGGGGAGCAAACAGG
This 253-nucleotide ribosomal RNA is filed under the name uncultured bacterium. Its description in RNAcentral is "partial 16S ribosomal RNA". It matches the Rfam family "Bacterial small subunit ribosomal RNA", at positions 524 to 776 of the family's 1533-position model. The record is from RNAcentral.